UCAAUCUUUGAGGUUGUUUCAAGCCUAAAGCUUCUAUUGUGGUGGUUUGUUUGGUGACUAAAGCAACUUGUAAGUAAGGUUUGGGCAACGACGGUGAUCGUAACUGAGACGUUUGACGUCGAUUAUUACUUUUGCUUGACAGAUCGGGAAGGGAUUUGAUCGAGGGCUUUCUUAGCUUUAUUUUGCCGUUCUUGCGUUUUGAGGUUGUAACUUUCGUUUAAGCAGACUUGUAAGCUUAAAUUCUUAAGGAUGAUUUAUAUUAUGUAAUUUUGAGUGAAGCGUGGUAAGUUGGCAUGCGAUGAUAUAUGUACUAAGCUGAAUUGUUGGAUUAGUGAUUAUGUUUGAGUUAGGGU
Coffea eugenioides is the source of this 353-nucleotide long non-coding RNA. RefSeq lists it as uncharacterized. The transcript is spliced from 3 exons. The record is from RefSeq and is a predicted model, not a curated record. Lineage: Eukaryota; Viridiplantae; Streptophyta; Magnoliopsida; Gentianales; Rubiaceae.